GCGCGCUUAGCUCAGUCGGUAGAGCGCCCCGUUUACACCGGGAAGGUCCAAGGUUCGAGUCCUUGAGCGCGCA
This 73-nucleotide transfer RNA is filed under the name Patescibacteria group bacterium. Its description in RNAcentral is "tRNA-Val". It matches the Rfam family "tRNA". From Rfam's summary of the family: Transfer RNA (tRNA) molecules are approximately 80 nucleotides in length. Their secondary structure includes four short double-helical elements and three loops (D, anti-codon, and T loops). The record is from RNAcentral.